GGGACCGUGGGGUAGUUUGGUCAUCCUUCCAGCUCGGGGAGCUGGUAACUCGAGUUCAAAUCUCGACGGUCCCA
Molecule: transfer RNA, 74 nt
Filed under: Candidatus Altarchaeales archaeon WOR_SM1_86-2
Lineage: Archaea; Nanobdellati; Candidatus Altarchaeota; Candidatus Altarchaeia; Candidatus Altarchaeales
Description: Candidatus Altiarchaeales archaeon WOR_SM1_86-2 tRNA-Pro
Rfam family: tRNA
About the family: Transfer RNA (tRNA) molecules are approximately 80 nucleotides in length. Their secondary structure includes four short double-helical elements and three loops (D, anti-codon, and T loops).
Source: RNAcentral